Molecule: ribosomal RNA, 433 nt
Filed under: uncultured bacterium
Lineage: Bacteria
Description: partial 16S ribosomal RNA
Rfam family: Bacterial small subunit ribosomal RNA
Source: RNAcentral
AACGAACGCUGGCGGCAUGCCUAACACAUGCAAGUCGAACGAACCCUUCGGGGGUAGUGGCGCACGGGUGCGUAACGCGUGGGAACCUGCCCUUAGGUUCGGAAUAACUCAGAGAAAUUUGAGCCAACACCGGAUAAUGUCUUCGGACCAAAGAUUUAUUGCCUUUGGUUGGGCCAGCGUUGGAUUAGCUUGUUGGUAGGGUAAUGGCAUACCACGGCGACGAUCCAUAGCUGGUUUGAGAGGCAGCUCACCCACUCUGAGAUUGGGAAGCGGCCCAGACUCCUACGGGAGGCAGCAGUGGGGAAUAUUGGACAGUGGGCGAAAGCCUGAACCAGCAAUGCCGCGUGAGUGAUGAAGGCCUUAGAGUUGUAAUGCUCUUUUAACCGUGAUGAUAAUGACAGUACCGGGAGAAUAAGCCCCGGCUAACUACGUG